RNAcentral lists this long non-coding RNA (419 nucleotides) under Hordeum vulgare. Its description in RNAcentral is "long non-coding RNA (HVUL_LNC004955)". The record is from RNAcentral. Lineage: Eukaryota; Viridiplantae; Streptophyta; Magnoliopsida; Poales; Poaceae.
CUUGUUCCAAAGCAGACGUAUAGAUGGACGACGGAUCAUGGAUGGGGGUGGUUCCUUGAGAGGAGCACCCACCCUGCACUGCAGCCUGCAGCCUGCAGGGGUCAACCGAUCUGCCUGGGCAGCCCCACUGUUUCACCCAGGGUAAAAUCUGGACCGUUCUCCCCUUCGAUCGGGCGGUGUCCCUCGUCUGAGCUCCAGUACAUAGAGCAGAGGACCUCCGCUGCCGCUGUUUACUGCCUACACACGUACACACACACACACACGAGCACACCUUCCAGCACAGUGCCAGCCACCGGAGAGAGAGGGAGCAGCAGCCAUGCGGUGGUGCUACGUGGGGAAGGCGACCAAGAUCUUCUUCGCCGUCGUGGCCGCGCUCGCCGUCGUCGGUCUCAUCGUUGCCGUCGGCGCCGUCGUCCNNN